Long non-coding RNA from Orcinus orca (killer whale), 583 nucleotides. RefSeq lists it as uncharacterized. The record is from RefSeq and is a predicted model, not a curated record. NCBI's taxonomy places the organism in Eukaryota, Metazoa, Chordata, Mammalia, Artiodactyla, Delphinidae. The transcript has 2 exons.
CUGACUCUGGGUACCUAGGCUGCAAGAUCUGAUAAGACCCACAGCUGAUAGAACCCCACAGUUUUUGUGCAAAGCUUAUCUCUUUCAGCUUCACAACAGCCCUGGGGGCAGUGACCUUUACUGCAGGGUGGGCUGUCAGCCUGGAGCCCCAGGAAGAGCUGGUGUUUUGGUUCAAGAUUGAAGUCUGCCUGCUGCAGAAUGUCAGAGGAGGAAGAGAAUGACCAGAUCUCUAGAAACAUCCUUGGAGAAGCAAUGACUUUAAACUGAAUCACCGGGGCUUCCCUGAUGGCAGAAUGGUUAAGAAUCUGCCUGCCAAUGCAGGGUACACGGGUUCGAACCCUGGUCCGGGAAGAUCCCACAUGCUGCGGAGCAACUAAGCCCGUGCGCCACAACUACUGAGCCCGCGAGCCACAACUACUGAAGACCCCGUGCUCUAGAGCCUGUGCUCCACAACAAGAGAAGCCACCGCAAUGAGAAGCCCGCGCACCGCAACGAUGAGUAGCCCCUGCUCGCUGCAACUAGAGAAAGCCCGCGCGCAGCAUUGAAGACCCAACGCAGCCAAAAAGAAAAAUAAAUAAAUAAA